GGUCAAGUUAUAAAGGGCAUACGGUGGAUGCCUUGGCGCUAAGAGCUGAUGAAGGACGUGGUAAGCUGCGAUAAGCUACGGGGAGCUGCAAGCAAGUUUCGAUCCGUAGAUUUCCGAAUGGGGCAACCUGCUUGGAGUAAUAUCCAAGUAUCAUAUACUGAAUACAUAGGUAUAUGAAGGCAACCCGGGGAACUGAAACAUCUAAGUACCCGGAGGAAAAUAAAGAAAACUCGAUUCCCCUAGUAGCGGCGAGCGAAAAGGGAAAAGCCCAAACCAAUCCUUCGGGAUUGGGGUUGUGGGACCUGCAUAAAGUUCAAUUUUCUAGUCGAAUAGAUCUGGAAA
Molecule: non-coding RNA, 342 nt
Filed under: Desulfonispora thiosulfatigenes DSM 11270
Lineage: Bacteria; Bacillati; Bacillota; Clostridia; Eubacteriales; Peptococcaceae
Description: Bacterial large subunit ribosomal RNA
Rfam family: Bacterial large subunit ribosomal RNA
Source: Rfam by way of RNAcentral